UCCUGAAUUCAGGGCCGUUUAGCAAUAUCAGGAAAAUCCAGGAACCUAAUCACAAAACCCCCAAAUCUUUCCAAAAUCCUCAAAAUUAGGGUUUCACUUCCAUCUCUCAAAAACCCUAAAAUCUCUCGCAUUCAACAAUGGCAGAAUCUAUGUGUAGAACUCUCCGAGAUGGAUCAUUAGAAGGGGAGCAAGCACCAACCCUCACAAUCAGAGACACCACAGCUUCGCCGUUUGGUUUCCACGUUUUCUCUCACGUUCUCUCUCAGCUCUCCUCUUUCAUUUUAGCCUCCAAAUCCCAGUCCCGGUUCCUAUUCAAAACCACGCCGUUUUCGUUCGUUUUCAUUGUUAUUAUUAAUUUAAUUGAGAUUAAGUUAAUAGAUUUGUUGAUGUUGCAGUUGUAUUGUAAUUGUUGCAUUUUCACGGAGCCCGUCCUUUUACGUUGAUUUACUGAAGAGACGAGGAAUUGAUGCAAAAUCAUCUCAUAAAUGGAUUUUUGAAGUGAUUUAUGGGUGGGGACAUGCGGGCUGAAUAAUUGUUGUUGUAGCAUUCAGAUUUUGGAUUGCUAUUCGGAUCCGCUUGGUUGGAAGGAUCAGCUUAUGAUGUCGGGAAAUUUCACGGAUGUUUCCUAUGAAGUUUCUUUGAGUUUGAGUUGUGUUUGUAGGAAUGUGAAGGAUUUGGACAAGUUGUACUCUUUGAUUCUUGAACUGGGGAAAGGUAAUUUCUGUAUGAAUUUUUUGUUGCUGCUUGGUUUUGUCUGUGAAGGAUAGUAAUUUUUUUGUAUUUAUGCUUGCAGGAUUGGUUGGGCAAGGAAAAGAUUGUUUUUCUGUUGCCAUUGAUUCGGUAAUUCUGCAACCUGCAAGUUUGAAUCUCUAAUAACUGUAUUGGUUGUUAUUAUGCAAGAUUAGGGCUUAGGCUGCAUUGUUAAGUUUAAAUGAAGUUCAAGUGUUCUUGCCAGUGUGUUGUAAUGAUAUUCUAGUAAAUUGAUGCCUUAGGUCUGUAGCUAAGUUCCACUUUUUAUAGUGUGUUAAUGUGAACAACAGGCUGCUUUUUCUGAGUGGACACUUCUUGUCAAAUACUGACAUGAACCAAUAAGAAGUAUUCUGGACUACAAUAUCGGAUGUCUCUGUUGUUCAAAGUAUCACUCUAUUUUGCAUGUGAGAUGUGGAAACUUCCUGUGAACUGCCAAUGUUUUCUGACGAGGAUAGGCAUUGUAUGUCUAGUGUCCUACUUUAGAAGAAUAGGAGGUUAUAUGCUGAAAUGGAUGGAUUUGAUUGUACUUUUUGUAUUUUCCUAACUCUGCUGGAAAAAAUUUGAAAUAUCAUUCUUAGGUCAAAAAAAGCCAAAAAAUACUUAGUGCUUUUUUGUCUCAUUUUAGCUUGAGCAGACAUGCUCACAUGGAUGGAGAGCUGCCAUGGACCCUGUAUGGUCAUGUGAUGCUGCCUGCUCAUAUGUCAGUGCCUAUGGAAGCCUGGAGAAUUUGUUGAUUGAUAUCCAAAUCAUUGUCCUUAUUUCUUGAGUCAUGUCCUAAUGCAGGAGGAUGGAUCCUAGGACAUGGAUAUGAUGUUGGCUAUUCUUUUGGAAUGGCACCAAGGUUCAUUGUUACUGUUCUUUAAAAACCCAAUCAAUACAGAGUAUAUUUAUGAGAUAUUGAGCUUGUGGGAGUAUGUUAUUUUAUAUAAAAUUCUAAUGACAGCGUAACAUGUCAGAACACUCAGUUUCAAUGCCGAGUAGUCUUUUACAUGCAGUUCAAAUAUUUGCUCCUUUUUUUUCCCUUUUUCAUUCUGAUGGGUUCUUCGCAAUUUUAACCAGAUAAAUGAAAUGAUGAGACGUAUCUACAUCAACAGUUGCAGGCCUGUUAAGCAACCUUUGUAGCCAUGAACAGAUUUCUAGCAUCUUUUGGCUGUUACAUUCAGACCUUCAUGAAGUCAAGGUUACAUCUGCUCUUGAAUAUCUGUCCUCUGUGGUGGCCAGUGUAGAACCACUGCAUCAAACUGCUAAUGGACAGAGAAGGGAUUUGGAAAACCUCACUUUGUUAGAACAGAACUUUGGGGAAGGAAAGCUUCAAGUCCGAUUCAAGCACUGAAAUGGGCCUGUUCGUGUGAUGGUGAAUCUCUCUUUCUCUAUCCUUUCCCCCCUUUCUUCUUCUUGUGUUUUUUUUGGGGUCUGGUGGGAGUUGUUGCCCCUGAUUAUGAAGCUUCAAACUGCCAUAACAAAUAUUCUGUUUUUAGAGCAAAGGAUUUCAUAUCGAUCAGUCAGAUAUCAAUUUUACAUCUGUUUCAUCUGAAUAUGAACUAUUCAAUCAAAUUAAUCAAGGCCUUCUGCCAAA
This is an RNA transcript of Populus trichocarpa (black cottonwood), 2326 nucleotides long. It is a transcript of the gene named elongator complex protein 5, with no coding region annotated. The transcript has 4 exons. The record is from RefSeq and is a predicted model, not a curated record. NCBI's taxonomy places the organism in Eukaryota, Viridiplantae, Streptophyta, Magnoliopsida, Malpighiales, Salicaceae.